Molecule: unclassified non-coding RNA, 393 nt
Filed under: soil metagenome
Description: partial contains 5.8S ribosomal RNA, internal transcribed spacer 2, and large subunit ribosomal RNA
Rfam family: 5.8S ribosomal RNA (bases 1-122)
Source: RNAcentral
GAUGAAGAACGUAGCGAAAUGCGAUACUUGGUGUGAAUUGCAGAAUCCCGUGAACCAUCGAGUCUUUGAACGCAAGUUGCGCCCGAAGCCACUAGGCCGAGGGCACGCCUGCCUGGGCGUCACACGUCGUUGCCCCCCCCCCAUCUACUCCUUCGGGAUUGCGGGGGGCGGAUGAUGGCCUCCCGUGCGCCUAGCCGCGCGGUUGGCAUAAAUACCAAGUCCUCGGCGACGCAUGCCACGACAAUCGGUGGUUGCGAAACCUCGGUUGCCCGUCGUGUGCGUUCGUCGCGCNNNNNNNGCUCGAAAAAAUGCUCGGCUCCGGCUCGGCUUUCAACGCGACCCCAGGUCAGGCGGGGUUACCCGCUGAAUUUAAGCAUAUCAAUAAGCGGAGGA